This 1718-nucleotide long non-coding RNA is filed under the name Daphnia pulex (common water flea). RNAcentral's name for it is "uncharacterized LOC124204826". The record is from RNAcentral. Lineage: Eukaryota; Metazoa; Arthropoda; Branchiopoda; Diplostraca; Daphniidae.
UUGUUAUUGUUUCAUCUAAAUCACGUUUGUUUACAGACUAAACAGAAAUGGAUCGGAUACACCGACGUCGAUUCGGCGCCCGUCCAUUUCUACGUAAAAAGAAAUUCUUCUUUUCAAACACGAUGAACUCCGAUUUCCGGCCAUACCAACCUCUUGCUGGUUGCGGGACUCAGAAACGGACUCGAUUGUGCACGAACCCAACGCCGCUCAACGCCGGCCGCACCUAUCCAGGUUUCAACUUCCAGAAAGGCGAUUGCACCUCCAUCUGUCCAGUAGUGGACGGUCGAUGGAACGCCUGGUCCUGUUGGUCCAAAUGCGGGCCGAUUUUGUAAACACCACCGUCGCCGUUCUUGCACCAGCAGCCCUUCACCUUCCUACGGAGGCAAAUAUUGGGUCGGCCGUGACUUGCAGCGGGAGGAGUUCGUGACGACGAUCUCGACAGCUUAGAUGAGGAUUCAACAACCACAAUCAAUUUGCUGCCUUCCUUUUUCGUCUCGGCGGACACGCCAUUUUUCUGCUAGGACGUCCGGUGGCGGCAUCCGGGAAUUGAGCGUUCGAUUCGAUUGCGAUUCCGCCGGAUUCAGCGUCGACUGGGAGGGUAAACGGACUCCAUUGAUCAACAGGGCUCUUAUUCUCGACAACAUUACUCCUCCCGAUUCGAUUCCUGUUCAAAAAAUAGGAGAAGAAUCAAAUAUCGUCCAAGAUGAAGGUAAAAGUUUCGCCACUCCUGCAAAUGAGAAGAAAUGCCAAGAAUAGAGAAUAGUUCGAUGUCUAAUUCAUGGCAUUACCUUCGUUCACCACCGCCAAAUCGACCGGAAUCGGAGUUCAUCGUGUUUGAAAAGAAGAAUUUCUUUUUACGUAGAAAUGGACGGGUGCCGAAUCGACGUCAGUGUAUCCGAUCCAUUUCUGUUUACUCUGUAACCAAACGUGAUUUAGAUGAAACAAUGACAAUUGAAAGAAAAACACGUCACCGUACCAUUUUGAUUGGGAUAGAAUUCACAGUAAACGGUUUCCAUCUUCUUCGAUCCCUUGACGGAAUAGAAUCCGCUCAGUUUGUGUCCGAUUCUCUGCAGAUCUUCACACGAGGUUCGAGUGACAGUCAAUUCUGUGUGUUCCAUCAUUUUGAUUGGCGCCGACAGUUCAGCGGUCGUGUAACGGACACGAACGUUGCGAUCCUGAAACGAUUGGGGAAUCACGAAAUUUGGCCAAAUUGAUUGGGCUGAGUUGCAUCGGUUUGGGCACGAAUUUCUCUCCGUCCCAUUGGACGUGGUCUCUACUUUCUUGUAAUAUUUUCUCCGCGUCUUCCUUAGAAAUGUUGACCUUGUUGGAACCAUCGGGAUCGUUUGCCAUUUUCUCUGAAAUGAUUGAACUGAUUCUAUCCACGUCAUCCCAACUGUUUGAGUCGUAAUUGUUGUUGGAUGUUUUCUAUAUUCUCUGAUUUUCUGUCAUGUUCUUCUGAAUUAUUUCUUGACUUGUCAGUUUUCUCGUUUGUCAUCUUUUAUUUUGUUUUUUAUUCGCAUCUUUCGUUUGAUUUGAUUGUUUAAUAGUUUCUCCUUCUCGUUUUAUAUCCGCGUCCUGAGUACCCGAAAGCAUUUCCUUUUUUAACCGACCAUUUCUCCACAUCAGAAGUUUGCUAAAAAUUUGCACCGCCUGAAAAUAAACAGUAGGCCUAUAAAAAAAAUGAGUGAUUUGAAAAUCAAGUUGAACUUAUAAAUUUA